CAGCCAUGCCGCGUGCGGGAAGAAGGCCUUCGGGUUGUAAACCGCUUUUGUCAGGGAAGAAACGGGUUUCUCUAAUACAGAGACCUAAUGGGCGUACCUGAAGAAUAAGCACCGGCUAACUACGUGCCAGCAGCCGCG
This 138-nucleotide ribosomal RNA is filed under the name uncultured soil bacterium. Its description in RNAcentral is "partial 16S ribosomal RNA". It matches the Rfam family "Bacterial small subunit ribosomal RNA", at positions 389 to 519 of the family's 1533-position model. The record is from RNAcentral.